Molecule: ribosomal RNA, 497 nt
Filed under: uncultured bacterium
Lineage: Bacteria
Description: partial 16S ribosomal RNA
Rfam family: Bacterial small subunit ribosomal RNA
Source: RNAcentral
GACGAACGCUGGCGGCGUGCCUAAUACAUGCAAGUUGAGCGCUGAAGGUUGGUACUUGUACCAACUGGAUGAGCAGCGAACUGGUGAGUAACGCGUGGGGAAUCUGCCUUUGAGCGGGGGACAACAUUUGGAAACGAAUGCUAAUACCGCAUAAAAACUUUAAACACAAGUUUUAAGUUUGAAAGAUGCAAUUGCAUCACUCAAAGAUGAUCCCGCGUUGUAUUAGCUAGUUGGUGAGGUAAAGGCUCACCAAGGCGAUGAUACAUAGCCGACCUGAGAGGGUGAUCGGCCACAUUGGGACUGAGACACGGCCCAAACUCCUACGGGAGGCAGCAGUAGGGAAUCUUCGGCAAUGGACGAAAGUCUGACCGAGCAACGCCGCGUGAGUGAAGAAGGUUUUCGGAUCGUAAAACUCUGUUGGUAGAGAAGAACGUUGGUGAGAGUGGAAAGCUCAUCAAGUGACGGUAACUACCCAGAAAGGGACGGCUAACUACGUG